AUAUCCCUGCGGUGCGCGUUGGAAAUUUGAUAAUUGUUGAACCAACACUAUUUUCAUGGGAGCCCCAUUAUUCUUUAGGCACGUGUGCCCAAAGAUAGGGCACCCACCUGAAGCCAAACCGGUUCAGAAUGUCAUUCCAACGGCACUCCUGCGGGGAUUUU
Molecule: non-coding RNA, 161 nt
Filed under: Candidatus Omnitrophica bacterium CG11_big_fil_rev_8_21_14_0_20_43_6
Lineage: Bacteria; Pseudomonadati; Candidatus Omnitrophota
Description: 6S RNA
Rfam family: 6S / SsrS RNA
About the family: E. coli 6S RNA was the first non coding RNA to be sequenced, but its function was unknown until recently. It consists of 184 nucleotides that fold into an extended hairpin structure with a large single-stranded internal bulge. The 6S RNA specifically associates with RNA polymerase holoenzyme containing the sigma70 specificity factor.
Source: RNAcentral